ACCAGCUGACGAGUCCAAAGUUGGAUGAAACGCGUGUCUUGGAU
Non-coding RNA from Schistosoma mansoni, 44 nucleotides. NCBI's taxonomy places the organism in Eukaryota, Metazoa, Platyhelminthes, Trematoda, Strigeidida, Schistosomatidae. The record is from Rfam.